AGAUGGGGAACACUACCUCGUGCUGCGUGUCGUCCAGUCCCAAGCUCCGGAGGAAUGCCCACUCCCGGCUGGAGUCCUACCGGCCAGACACGGACCUGAGCCGCGAGGACACGGGCUGCAACCUGCAGCACAUCAGCGACCGGGAGAACAUAGACGGUGACCCCAGUGGCUGAAAGCAGAGGAGAAAGUGUUUCAUCACGGGCCCUCUCCUUCUGAAUACUAUUUGAACAUGGAAUUCAAUCCUUCAGAUCAUCCUCGGGCCAGCACAAUAUUCCUCAGUAAAUCUCAGACAGACGUGAGAGAAAAACGCAAGAGUCUCUUCAUUAACCAUCAUCCUCCAGGACAAAUAGCAAGGAAAUACAGUUCCUGCUCCACCAUUUUCCUAGAUGAUAGCACAGUCAGUCAACCAAACCUCAAGUAUACAAUUAAAUGUGUCGCUCUUGCAAUAUAUUAUCACAUCAAAAACAGGGACCCAGAUGGAAGGAUGCUCUUAGAUAUUUUUGAUGAAAAUCUUCACCCUCUUUCGAAAUCCGAAGUGCCACCAGAUUAUGACAAACACAACCCAGAGCAGAAGCAGAUUUACCGGUUUGUUCGGACACUGUUCAGUGCUGCUCAGCUGACGGCUGAAUGUGCCAUCGUCACCCUGGUGUACCUUGAAAGACUUUUAACAUACGCAGAGAUAGAUAUCUGUCCGGCCAACUGGAAGCGGAUUGUUUUAGGGGCGAUCCUGCUGGCCUCCAAGGUGUGGGAUGACCAGGCUGUAUGGAAUGUGGAUUACUGCCAGAUCCUGAAAGACAUCACGGUGGAGGAC
RNAcentral lists this small RNA (811 nucleotides) under Pan troglodytes (chimpanzee). RNAcentral's name for it is "processed transcript". The record is from RNAcentral. Lineage: Eukaryota; Metazoa; Chordata; Mammalia; Primates; Hominidae.